This 492-nucleotide ribosomal RNA is filed under the name uncultured bacterium. RNAcentral describes it as "partial 16S ribosomal RNA". It matches the Rfam family "Bacterial small subunit ribosomal RNA", at positions 29 to 507 of the family's 1533-position model. The record is from RNAcentral.
AGUGAACGCUGGCGGUAGGCCUAACACAUGCAAGUCGAACGGCAGCACAGUAAGAGCUUGCUCUUACGGGUGGCGAGUGGCGGACGGGUGAGGAAUACAUCGGAAUCUACUUUUUCGUGGGGGAUAACGUAGGGAAACUUACGCUAAUACCGCAUACGACCUACGGGUGAAAGCAGGGGAUCUUCGGACCUUGCGCGAUUGAAUGAGCCGAUGUCGGAUUAGCUAGUUGGCGGGGUAAAGGCCCACCAAGGCGACGAUCCGUAGCUGGUCUGAGAGGAUGAUCAGCCACACUGGCACUGGGACACGGUCCAGACUCCUACGGGCGGCAGCAGUGGGGAAUAUUGGACAAUGGGCGCGAGCCUGAUCCCGCCAUACCGCGUGGGUGAAGAAGGCCUUCUGGUUCUAAAGCCCUUUUGUUGGGAAAGAAAAGCAGCAGGUUAAUACCCCGCUGUUCUGACGGUACCCAAAGAAUAAGCACCGGCUAACUUCGUG